This 332-nucleotide ribosomal RNA is filed under the name Vibrio tasmaniensis 1F-155. RNAcentral describes it as "bacterial LSU rRNA". It matches the Rfam family "Bacterial large subunit ribosomal RNA", at positions 2617 to 2925 of the family's 2925-position model. Lineage: Bacteria; Pseudomonadati; Pseudomonadota; Gammaproteobacteria; Vibrionales; Vibrionaceae. The record is from RNAcentral.
CGUCGUGAGACAGUUCGGUCCCUAUCUGCCGUGGGCGUUGGAAAAUUGAAAGGGGCUGCUCCUAGUACGAGAGGACCGGAGUGGACGAACCUCUGGUGUUCGGGUUGUCAUGCCAAUGGCAUUGCCCGGUAGCUAAGUUCGGAAUCGAUAACCGCUGAAAGCAUCUAAGCGGGAAGCGAGCCUUGAGAUGAGUUUUCCCUGGCACUAUAAGUGUCCUAAAGGGUUGUCGUAGACUACGACGUUGAUAGGCAGGGUGUGUAAGUGCUGCGAGGCAUUGAGCUAACCUGUACUAAUUGCCCGUGAGGCUUAACCAUACAACACCCAAGGGGUUU